AUUGAACGCUGGCGGCAGGCCUAACACAUGCAAGUCGAGCGAGCGGCGGACGGGUGAGUAAUGUCUGGGAAACUGCCUGAUGGAGGGGGAUAACUACUGGAAAAGGUAGCUAAUACAGCAUACCAUCAGAUGUGCCCAGAUGGGAUUAGCUAGUAGGGGGGGUAACGGCUCACCACGGCGACGAGCCCUCGCUGGGAUGAGAGGAUGACCAGCCACACUGGAACUGAGACACGGUCCAGACUCCUACGGGAGGCAGCAGUGGGGAAUAUUGCACAAUGGGCGCAAGCCUGAUGCAGCCAUGCCGCGUGUGUGAAGAAGGCCGUCGGGUUGUAAAGCACUUUCAGCGGGGAGGCGUUACCCGCAGAAGAAGCACCGGCUAACUCCGUGUCAGCCGCCGCGGUAAUAC
Molecule: ribosomal RNA, 406 nt
Filed under: uncultured bacterium
Lineage: Bacteria
Description: partial 16S ribosomal RNA
Rfam family: Bacterial small subunit ribosomal RNA
Source: RNAcentral